Long non-coding RNA from Ananas comosus (pineapple), 720 nucleotides. RefSeq lists it as uncharacterized. Lineage: Eukaryota; Viridiplantae; Streptophyta; Magnoliopsida; Poales; Bromeliaceae. The record is from RefSeq and is a predicted model, not a curated record. The transcript is spliced from 3 exons.
GCUCCAAUUAAAUGUAUCAGACUAGAAUUGGACUAAGUGAUAAUAAUUGAUGAUUUGUGGACCUAAAGGCAAUUGUUACAUUGCUUACAAGGACUUCCACUAGGCUGCCAGGGGACUUCCAUUCUUAUCCUCUCCCUGUACGCAUGAGGGAGAGAGUGAAAGGAAGAGAAAAGGAAAUAGAGAGAAGAAGAAGAAGAAGAAAGUAACAAAUUUUGGUGCCGUUUGGCGAGCCGAUCGAAACGCCGCGCGUCAGAUUUUUAGCGUCGACACUCGGGAAGUGAGACCCUAACUUGGAAUUGCGCAUGUAUGAACCUAAUUGGGGAUAAAGUAAACGCGUUGACGAAGUCGGUUCGGUAACCCAUCGAGCCUACGCGAAGAUAGGGCCAAAAGAACGUUUUCGGCUUCAAUUGUCGCGAACGCGGAUUGCGAUUCUUGGAAAGUGCGGGAAGUGGAUUUCUUGCGUUCCGGUAUCAAGUAAAGGUUCGCACGUGAGCGGCGCGGCGGCGCGAGGACAGGGCGUAGCUCCAUUGAUAGCGCCCUACCACUGAGACCGAGAUAGCAGUACCUUGAAGCGGUGUAGCUCAAAGUUCAGAGUAAAUGUAGCAAAUUUGUAACAAAUUAUAUAAGUUGUAAUAACUUAAAAGUUAUGUAAUAUAUUCAUGUAUAAGAUCUAUGAGUUGAAUGAUUGUAAUAGCAUAGUUAGCAUUUUAUGUUUUGAUA